Molecule: ribosomal RNA, 301 nt
Filed under: uncultured bacterium
Lineage: Bacteria
Description: partial 16S ribosomal RNA
Rfam family: Bacterial small subunit ribosomal RNA
Source: RNAcentral
CAGCAGCCACGGGAAUACGGAGGGUGCAAGCGUUAAUCGGAAUUACUGGGCGUAAAGAGCUCGUAGGCGGUUUGUCGCGUCUGCCGUGAAAGUCCGGGGCUCAACCCCGGAUCUGCGGUGGGUACGGGCAGACUAGAGUGAUGUAGGGGAGACUGGAAUUCCUGGUGUAGCGGUGAAAUGCGCAGAUAUCAGGAGGAACACCGAUGGCGAAGGCAGGUCUCUGGGCAUUAACUGACGCUGAGGUACGAAAGCAUGGGGAGCAAACAGGAUUAGAUACCCCCGUAGUCCCUGUCUCUUAUAC